UCCUGGGUAGCUUAGCUGGUAAAGAAUCUACAUGCAAUGCAGGAGACCCCGGUUCAAUUCCCGGUUUGGGAA
RNAcentral lists this transfer RNA (72 nucleotides) under Ovis aries (sheep). It matches the Rfam family "tRNA". Rfam says of the family: Transfer RNA (tRNA) molecules are approximately 80 nucleotides in length. Their secondary structure includes four short double-helical elements and three loops (D, anti-codon, and T loops). Further hydrogen bonds mediate the characteristic L-shaped molecular structure. tRNAs have two regions of fundamental functional importance: the anti-codon, which is responsible for specific mRNA codon recognition, and the 3' end, to which the tRNAs corresponding amino acid is attached (by aminoacyl-tRNA synthetases). tRNAs cope with the degeneracy of the genetic code in two manners: having more than one tRNA (with a specific anti-codon) for a particular amino acid; and 'wobble' base-pairing, i.e. permitting non-standard base-pairing at the 3rd anti-codon position. Lineage: Eukaryota; Metazoa; Chordata; Mammalia; Artiodactyla; Bovidae. The record is from Rfam by way of RNAcentral.